CUCUCGUCCCCUGGAGGCAGAUAGCCAAACCUCCUUUCUGUUCGCAGUUAGACUCUGCUGCCUCCGGAUAAUCUUAGUUCUUCUGCUGUUUGCCCCUCGAAACCCCUAGGUCUCCUCCACCGCUGCCUCCACCGCCCGCUUCCUGUUUAUCCGCACUGCGCCUGCGCCAGAGACCGGCUCAGACCGGUCGCCUCAGCCCGACUCCCCCUCCUUCUUUUGGGCCAGCCUAUUGAGCUUCAUUUGGUAGGGGGAACUAGAACAGAGGGGACGAGAAAAGCGGGAGGUAAUGAAGGCGACGGGAUGUACUAUUUAUGCUUGCCACCCUCUAAAACGAGCCGGGAGCUCUGGAACGAACCAUCACCCCUCCGGAAGAAGGGGAGUAUGGGAGGAGGCUGCAGCAGGUUGGGGCACUGGGGAUGGGGGGGUGAAAAAGAGAGGUGUUUACUCUCUCAAUGCGCAGGCGCGGAAACGAAGCCUCUAGUUCUUAAAGCGAGAGGAAGAAACUGACCUAUUUUCUAUUGAGAUUCUUCUAAUAGGUAGGUUCAUUACAUCAGCCUGACCCAGGAUCGGUUCUGUGAAGACAACAUUCCAAGGAGCUCAGCUCACCCCUCUGCCUUGACAUGUUCCCGUAACUUCAGCUUGGCGCUAACGCCUUUUAAAUACUAAAUCAUUCGUUCAUUCCUUCGUUCGGCAGAGACCAAGUGAGCUGGCCUCGUGCUGGGCUCUUGGGCCACUAUGAGCUCACAGUAUGGUGGUGGAGACAAGCAAGUACAUGCACAAUCCCCACACAGUGUACCCAAGUGUUGCAGGAGCUCAGAGGAGGGACUGGCUUAAUCCUCCUUUGGAGAGAGGUGGCAGCCAUGGCUUUGCUUUUGAGCUGGAGCAUAAAGGAUGAGUACGAGUUAGACUGAGGAGGGGGAAGCGGAGAGAAUCCUCCAGGCUCGUGGAGCAGUACAGUUGUGAUGUGGGAGAGAGAUUCACAUGAGGACCUCUCUGAGGUCAGAUUCAGGUUCCUUGGGAGAGGAGAGACCAAGCUUCUUCCUUCCUCCCACCCAGGAUCUGCCAAAGCUUUGCCUGCUCCUUGAAAAACGUUACUGAGCUGAUGGAGAAGUCCAGAAUUGGAGGGAAGUCUGUACCCUCCAAGGAAGUGGCCCACCCUCACCUCCCCCCAGCAUUCCUGGAGCCCCUCCCCCAUCUUCCCUGCUCCUUGUUGGUGUGUGUGGGGGGUGUUCAUGUUUGUAGGGGUGAGGAGAGGCCUGCAGAGCCAGUGAGCCAGAGACAAGAGCCUCUGAACUCCUGCCACAGCUGGUAAACACUGAGCACUCACUAUGGGCUAGAUAAUACAUUACGUUCUUACAGAGUUGAUCAUGUUUUUUUCUUUUUUAAAAAAAUCAAUUUAAAUUCAAUUUAGUUGAAAUACAACGUAUUAUUGGUUUCAGCGGAUAGAAUUUAGUGAUUCAUCAGUUGCAUAUAACACCCAGCACUUAUUUAUUAUUAUUAUUAUUUUUAUGAUAGUCACACAGAGAGAGAGAGAGAGGCAGAGACAGAG
Long non-coding RNA from Canis lupus familiaris (dog), 1549 nucleotides. RefSeq lists it as uncharacterized. The record is from RefSeq and is a predicted model, not a curated record. NCBI's taxonomy places the organism in Eukaryota, Metazoa, Chordata, Mammalia, Carnivora, Canidae. The transcript has 3 exons.